GUGGGGAAUCUUGCGCAAUGGGCGAAAGCCUGACGCAGCCAUGCCGCGUGAAUGAUGAAGGUCUUAGGAUUGUAAAAUUCUUUCACCGGGGACGAUAAUGACGGUACCCGGAGAAGAAGCUCCGGCUAACUUCGUGCCAGCAGCCGCGGUAAUACGAAGGGGGCUAGCGUUGCUCGGAAUUACUGGGCGUAAAGGGCGCGUAGGCGGACAGCUUAGUCAGGGGUGAAAGCCCAGGGCUCAACCUUGGAAUUGCCUUUGAGACUGGCUGUCUUGAGUUUGGGAGAGGUGAGUGGAACUCCGAGUGUAGAGGUGAAAUUCGUAGAUAUUCGGAAGAACACCAGUGGCGAAGGCGACUCACUGGCCCAAUACUGACGCUGAGGCGCGAAAGCGUGGGGAGCAAACAGGAUUAGAAACCCCUGUAGUCC
RNAcentral lists this ribosomal RNA (425 nucleotides) under uncultured bacterium. Its description in RNAcentral is "partial 16S ribosomal RNA". It matches the Rfam family "Bacterial small subunit ribosomal RNA", at positions 354 to 796 of the family's 1533-position model. The record is from RNAcentral.